This 241-nucleotide ribosomal RNA is filed under the name uncultured bacterium. RNAcentral's name for it is "partial 16S ribosomal RNA". It matches the Rfam family "Bacterial small subunit ribosomal RNA", at positions 57 to 305 of the family's 1533-position model. The record is from RNAcentral.
GCAAGUCGAGCGAGAAAGCACUUCGGUGCGAGUAGAGCGGCGGACGGGUGAGUAACGCGUAGGAAUCUACCGAGUAGUGGGGGACAACAUGGUGAAAACCAUGCUAAUACCUCAUACGCCCUACGGGGGAAAGGGGGCUGUUUACAGCUCUUGCUAUUUGAUGAGCCUGCGUAAGAUUAGCUUGUUGGUGAGGUAAAGGCUCACCAAGGCGACGAUCUUGAGCGGGUCUGAGAGGAUGAUC